UCCUUCAGGCGACGCGAACAAAAGAAGCGAUCGAUUUCUUGAAAAAUCGAUCGACCAGUAUUAAAAAAAAAGUUGGACAGCCUCGACCAGUUGCGGAAAUUAAAAAAAGAGCUCGACCAACUACCCCUCUUCUUCUCCAGUGACGGAAAUUAGGGUUUCCAUCGGUGAAGACGACCGGCGACCGACGACGACGACAAAACCCAGGUAUGUUUUCUUCUCCUUUGUUCUUGUUUUUUCUUUCUCCUUCAUCUUCUUCUUCCAUCUUCUUCUUUCUCUCUGUCGACGUCGGCGACGAGGAUUCCCGUUGUUUUUUCAUUUUUUUUUCAUCUACGAUCAGCAUCGACGUCGGCGACUCUGUCUCUGUUUCACUAUUUUGUUUUUCAUUUGUUUUUGGCCUAGUUCUUUUCAAUUUUUUUUAAAGUUACUGUAGCACAUAUAUAUAU
RNAcentral lists this long non-coding RNA (443 nucleotides) under Nicotiana benthamiana. RNAcentral describes it as "long non-coding RNA (NBEN_LNC034845)". Lineage: Eukaryota; Viridiplantae; Streptophyta; Magnoliopsida; Solanales; Solanaceae. The record is from RNAcentral.